UACGGAGGGUGCAAGCAUUAAUCGGAUUGAUUGGGCGUAAAGGGCGCGUAGGCGGGGAUUUAAGUCAGAUGUGAAAUCCCGAGGCUCAACCUCGGAACUGCAUUUGAAACUGGAUUUCUAGAGGAUAGGCGGAGAAAACGGAAUUCCACAAGUAGCGGUGAAAUGCGUAGAUAUGUGGAAGAACACCUGUGGCGAAAGCGGUUUUCUAGCUUAGACCUGACGCUGAGGCGCGAAAGCAAGGGGAGCAAAC
Molecule: ribosomal RNA, 250 nt
Filed under: uncultured bacterium
Lineage: Bacteria
Description: partial 16S ribosomal RNA
Rfam family: Bacterial small subunit ribosomal RNA
Source: RNAcentral